Molecule: ribosomal RNA, 484 nt
Filed under: uncultured bacterium
Lineage: Bacteria
Description: partial 16S ribosomal RNA
Rfam family: Bacterial small subunit ribosomal RNA
Source: RNAcentral
AUUGAACGCUGGCGGCAGGCCUAACACAUGCGAGUCGAGCGGAUGAAGGGAGCUUGCUCCUGGAUUCAGCGGCGGACGGGUGAGUAAUGCCUAGGAAUCUGCCUGGUAGUGGGGGAUAACGUCCGGAAACGGGCGCUAAUACCGCAUACGUCCUGAGGGAGAAAGUGGGGGAUCUUCGGACCUCACGCUAUCAGAUGAGCCUAGGUCGGAUUAGCUAGUUGGUGGGGUAAAGGCCUACCAAGGCGACGAUCCGUAACUGGUCUGAGAGGAUGAUCAGUCACACUGGAACUGAGACACGGUCCAGACUCCUACGGGAGGCAGCAGUAGGGAAUAUUGGACAAUGGGCGAAAGCCUGAUCCAGCCAUGCCGCGUGUGUGAAGAAGGUCUUCGGAUUGUAAAGCACUUUAAGUUGGGAGGAAGGGCAGUAAGUUAAUACCUUGCUGUUUUGACGUUACCAACAGAAUAAGCACCGGCUAACUUCGUG